AAACUCAAAUGAAUUGACGGGGCCGCACAAGCGGUGGAGUAUGUGGUUAAUUCGAUGCAACGCGAAAAACCUUACCCACCUUUGACAUGUACGGAACCCUUUAGAGAUAGAGGGUGCUCGAAAGAGAGCCGUAACACAGGUGCUGCAUGGCUGUCGUCAGCUCGUGUCGUGAGAUGUUGGGUUAAGUCCCGCAACGAGCGCAACCCUUGUCAUUAGUUGCUACAUUCAGUUGGGCACUCUAAUGAGACUGCCGGUGACAAGCCGGAGGAAGUGGGGAUGACGUCAAGUCCUCAUGGCCCUUAUAGGUGGGGCUACACACGUCAUACAAUGGCUGGUACAAAGGGUUGCCAACCCGCGAGGGGGAGCCAAUCCCAUAAAGCCAGUCGUAGUCCGGAUCGUAGUCUGCAACUCGACUACGUGAAGUCGGAAUCGCUAGUAAUCGUGGAUCAGAAUGUCACGGUGAAUACGUUCCCGGGUCUU
RNAcentral lists this ribosomal RNA (480 nucleotides) under uncultured Rhodoferax sp. Its description in RNAcentral is "bacterial SSU rRNA". It matches the Rfam family "Bacterial small subunit ribosomal RNA", at positions 897 to 1382 of the family's 1533-position model. Lineage: Bacteria; Pseudomonadati; Pseudomonadota; Betaproteobacteria; Burkholderiales; Comamonadaceae. The record is from RNAcentral.